CGCUCUAUCUGUUUAUCCUCGGAUACGUUUUUGGUUUGGCGUGGCGCAGGAGAACUCUGUGAUCGUGUAGGUGAGAUAAAUGACGACAGGAGAGGAUCAGGAGUUACACUUGACGCAACAGAACCAUUACGAGAAGUAAAUCCUAACAACCUUUGUAGAUCUCCUUCUCUUAGUUCUUUCCGAAGAAGUGAAAGUGUCGAAUUGGUACCGCUUUUUCGUGACUUUCUCUUUCGCUGCAAGUAAAACUCAUUAAGGAAUUCAACAGAGGA
RNAcentral lists this small RNA (269 nucleotides) under Arabidopsis thaliana (thale cress). RNAcentral's name for it is "ATSL056780". The record is from RNAcentral. Lineage: Eukaryota; Viridiplantae; Streptophyta; Magnoliopsida; Brassicales; Brassicaceae.